GGGUUGUGAGGUUAAGCGACUAAGCGUACACGGUGGAUGCCCUGGCAGUCAGAGGCGAUGAAGGACGUGCUAAUCUGCGAUAAGCGUCGGUAAGGUGAUAUGAACCGUUAUAACCGGCGAUUUCCGAAUGGGGAAACCCAGUGUGUUUCGACACACUAUCAUUAACUGAAUCCAUAGGUUAAUGAGGCGAACCGGGGGAACUGAAACAUCUAAGUACCCCGAGGAAAAGAAAUCAACCGAGAUUCCCCCAGUAGCGGCGAGCGAACGGGGAGCAGCCCAGAGCCUGAAUCAGUGUGUGUGUUAGUGGAAGCGUCUGGAAAGGCGCGCGAUACAGGGUGACAGCCCCGUACACAAAAAUGCACAUACUGUGAGCUCGAUGAGUAGGGCGGGACACGUGGUAUCCUGUCUGAAUAUGGGGGGACCAUCCUCCAAGGCUAAAUACUCCUGACUGACCGAUAGUGAACCAGUACCGUGAGGGAAAGGCGAAAAGAACCCCGGCGAGGGGAGUGAAAAAGAACCUGAAACCGUGUACGUACAAGCAGUGGGAGCACGCUUCGGCGUGUGACUGCGUACCUUUUGUAUAAUGGGUCAGCGACUUAUAUUCUGUAGCAAGGUUAACCGAAUAGGGGAGCCGAAGGGAAACCGAGUCUUAACUGGGCGUUAAGUU
This 667-nucleotide ribosomal RNA is filed under the name Escherichia coli. Its description in RNAcentral is "partial 23S ribosomal RNA". It matches the Rfam family "Bacterial large subunit ribosomal RNA", at positions 1 to 701 of the family's 2925-position model. Lineage: Bacteria; Pseudomonadati; Pseudomonadota; Gammaproteobacteria; Enterobacterales; Enterobacteriaceae. The record is from RNAcentral.